Molecule: ribosomal RNA, 253 nt
Filed under: uncultured bacterium
Lineage: Bacteria
Description: partial 16S ribosomal RNA
Rfam family: Bacterial small subunit ribosomal RNA
Source: RNAcentral
UACGUAGGGUGCGAGCGUUAAUCGGAAUUACUGGGCGUAAAGCGUGCGCAGGCGGUUCGUCGUGUCCGAUGUGAAAGCCCCGGGCUCAACCUGGGAAUGGCAUUGGAAACUGGCGGACUCGAGUGUGGCAGAGGGGGGUGGAAUUCCGCGUGUAGCAGUGAAAUGCGUAGAUAUCGGGAGGAACACCUGUGGCGAAGGCGGCCCCCUGGUUGGAUACUGACGCUGAUACGCGAAAGCGUGGGGAGCAAACAGG